This 253-nucleotide ribosomal RNA is filed under the name uncultured bacterium. Its description in RNAcentral is "partial 16S ribosomal RNA". It matches the Rfam family "Bacterial small subunit ribosomal RNA", at positions 524 to 776 of the family's 1533-position model. The record is from RNAcentral.
UACAGAGGGUGCAAACGUUGCUCGGAAUUAUUGGGCGUAAAGCGCGUGUAGGCGGCUUGUUAAGUUGGUCGUGAAAGCCCACAGCUCAACUGUGGAAGUGCAACCAAAACUGGCAAGCUAGAGUUCUAAAGAGGAUGGCGGAAUUCCCAGUGUAGAGGUGAAAUUCGUAGAUAUUGGGAGGAACAUCGGUGGCGAAGGCGACUACCUGGCCUGUUCUUGACGCUGAGGCGCGAAAGCUAGGGGAGCAAACGGG